GCGACAGGAGGAGGUGACAGGAGGAGGUGGAGCAGACAGGAGGAGGUGAAGACGACUUUUCAAACUGUGGAUCUCUUCUGAAGUGAUGAAGAUGAAGGCUUGGCUCCUCCUCCUCCUCGUGGCGCCGUACUCCUCCCUCUCGGCUUCGGGGGAAACGGAGGGGGCGUGGCCUCCCUGCCCCCCGCCGUGGCUCCUGGUGGGGAGGAGGUGCUUCGCUCUGCAGCCCGUGUGGAGCUCCUGGAGCAACGCGGAGCUGAUGUGCUCUCAGGUGGGAGGUCACCUGGCGUCGCUCCACACGGCGGAGGAGGAGGCGUUUGUGCGUCGGCUGGACAUCACACACCCUCAGGUGUGGCUGGGUGGAGGCCAGCAGAAGAACGGCUCUUGGUUUUGGAGCGACGGCUUCCCCUUCAGUGGCUGGACCAAUCAGAGGCCGGCAGAGGCCAGAGAGGGCGGGGCUUGCAUGGCACUGACACCAAAAAGUGGAGAGCUCAGCGCCGCCCCCUGUGGCGAGCUGCGGUUCUACAUCUGCUCCACCAGAGCCAGGAAACCAGUCCAUCCAGGCAUCGUGCGCGGUGUGAGCCUGUGUGACGUUAUGUGGGGUCACAGCGCCUCCCUGGCGGAGGAGAUCCUCCACUCCUCCUCCCUCCUCCGGCAGCUGCGCUCCGGCAACCUCACGCGGCGCUGCUACGACAGCUUCCUCCAGCAGGAGGCGCUGUACCUGCACCGGGUCAGCAGCACGCUGGAGGUCCUGAUUGGUCGUUCCCGGGAAGCGGACGACGUGACGUCACUGCUGCUGGACACGCUGAAGCAGUACAGCAGGAACCAGGAGUCCUUCCACCAGGUGGUCCAGGAGGAUCCGGUCUACUGGCUGGUGGCUCUGUCGGCCCGGGCCGCCCUGCGUCACUUCCUGUCCCGGGAGCUGGUCUCGGGGUCAGAGGUCACGGCCGGCCCCCUCCUCCGGGAGUGGAGCGCCGACGCCCAGACGAAGGUCACCUGGAUGCAAAGGUUCAGGCAGCUGGUGGACCUGCGUCAGCGGCACAUGGACUGUUCCAGGCCGUCAACAUCUUCAGGGAUCACAUGACCACCCAGAGGAGCCUCCACAAGGCCGUGACCUGUGAUGAAGAGGGUGCUGCAUGACGAUGAGGCGGAGAUGGAGGUUCCUCGUGUUGUUUUGUCUGCGCUGAGAGUUUCAAUAAAGUUUGUGCUGAUCUCUCCUGGAUGUUUCGAAUAAAACG
This is an RNA transcript of Pseudoliparis swirei, 1235 nucleotides long. RefSeq lists it as uncharacterized. The record is from RefSeq and is a predicted model, not a curated record. The transcript has 13 exons. NCBI's taxonomy places the organism in Eukaryota, Metazoa, Chordata, Actinopteri, Perciformes, Liparidae.